Molecule: small RNA, 1412 nt
Filed under: Pongo abelii (Sumatran orangutan)
Lineage: Eukaryota; Metazoa; Chordata; Mammalia; Primates; Hominidae
Description: processed transcript
Source: RNAcentral
AUUCCCAGGCCAGGGCCCCAUUCUGUCUGUGGGACUGUGGGUUCUCAGUGGAAUUGUUGCCUUUCUUGUCGUGGAGAAAUUUGUGAGACAUGUGAAAGGAGGACAUGGUCAUAGUCAUGGACAUGGACACGCUCACAGUCACACACAUGGAAGUCAUGGACAUGGAAGACAAGAGUGUUCUACCAAGGAGAAGCAGAGCUCAGAGGAAGAAGAAAAGGAAACAAGGGGGGUUCAGAAGAGGCGAGGAGGGAGCACAGUACCCAAAGAUGGGCCAGUGAGACCUCAGAAUGCUGAAGAAGAAAAAAGAGGCUUAGACCUGCGUGUGUCAGGGUACCUGAAUCUGGCUGCUGACUUGGCACACAACUUCACUGAUGGUCUGGCCAUUGGGGCUUCCUUUCGAGGGGGCCGGGGACUAGGAAUCCUGACCACAAUGACUGUCCUGCUACAUGAAGUGCCCCAUGAGGUCGGAGACUUUGCCAUCUUGGUCCAGUCUGGCUGCAGCAAAAAGCAGGCGAUGCGUCUGCAACUACUGACAGCAGUAGGGGCACUGGCAGGCACAGCCUGUGCCCUUCUCACUGAAGGAGGAGCAGUGGGCAGUGAAAUUGCAGGUGGUGCAGGUCCUGGCUGGGUCCUGCCAUUUACUGCAGGUGGCUUUAUCUACGUAGCAACAGUGUCUGUGUUGCCCGAGCUGCUGAGGGAGGCAUCACCAUUGCAAUCACUUCUGGAGGUGCUGGGGCUGCUGGGGGGAGUUGUCAUGAUGGUGCUGAUUGCCCACCUCGAGUGAGGGGUGGAUAAACUACCCCUGCCCCAAACCUCUAACCCUAACUCCAGGUCAGGGGUACAUAGAGGUUGGGGGCCCUGGCCAGGGACAUCUGCCAAAGGAAGGAACUGUAGCCUGGGAGAAUGGUUACUUUGGCAUUAGGGCCUUCAAGGGCUGGCAGUCUUACAGAGGCUGGAGCGGUGAGAAUGAGAGGCCAGAGGGACCAUAGUGUUGGGCACCGUCUGACCAUGUUGCGUUUGGAAGGCUAAAUGGGGCCAUGAAGAAGGCUGGAAGGGACAGGGGGUGAUGGCAGCCUACCUGGUGUCCCCUACCCCACCUGUUCUCGGAGAACCAGGUUGCUACACAGGAAGUUCUCCAAGGUCCAGUUCCCUUUCUCCCACCAGUUGGUGGAGGCUUCAGGGAAGACCAGAGUCCUGGACAGAGAGGGUAACAGGAAGAGUCGGGGAUAAACAUCAAACAUCAAUCGUGUGUCCUGAUUUGGGAGUGAUUAGGGGGGAUGGGGGUGGGAGAGGGCUAGUUGGUAUUCUCAUGGCCUGAUUUUUUUUGUUUCUAUUCCUUUUAUAUCACUGUGUUUGAAUCGAGGGGGAGGGGUGGUAACCGGAAAUAAAGUCCUCCGAUCUUCCGCCCCACA